UUGGCCGUGAGCGAGAAUCGAACUCGGGUCGCCGGCUUCGUAGUGCAGCGCGCUAACGACUACACUACCGCUCCCGACCCAACUUUCCUUUCACGUACACAAAAAAAGACAAAGAUCCCCCUAUAGCCUUAACAGACUGUUGGGGCAAGUGCUGUUAGCGAGCAGCACAUCUGAAGGACCGAAUGGCACACGAGGAGGUGGGUGGCCAGCACCACGCCCGGCCACCUUUGUCUCCCCAGUGGAGUUGUUUACACACCGCACCAGGUAGGCAUUUCAGACUAAGUAGACCUAGGUGCUCGGGGAUAAUCGACACAGCUGUUAAGGGACAUUCACAUGCACACAGACUAAGAUCCCUCACAUAGCUUUAACAGACUAUUGGGGCGAGUGCAGCUAGCGAGCAACAAUGAAGGCCGACACGGCACACAAGAGGGUGGGUGGCCAGCACCACGGCGGACCGCCUUUGUCUCCCAAAUGGCGAUGUUUACUGGUACUCAUUUUAGGCCGAGUCUUAAGUGCUAGUGUUCGUAAGUCAGGUGUUCCUAAGUCGGGUGUUCGUAAGUCGAGGGCUUCCUGUAAUUUUCAUUUCACAGGUCCAGCUGAUUUUAACCAGAAACCGAUAACCUAUGGCACUGGUAAUGACCUAUAACAACUGCAUAUAGCCUCUAAACUAGAUUAAAGAAACAUCUGUGGUUCAUGUGGUGGAUGGAGCUGAACAGGGCCAACUGGUGGAGGGGCGAGGCCAAGGGAAGGAGUGGGGACAGCCUCUGGAGAGAGAGGCAACAAGGGAGACACGUGUGUGAGUUAUGGCACAGAUUAUGAAUCGGCUCACAUAAGCCGGUGUGUUUUCGCAGCAUUAAUUUGAGUAGUUCUCAACGUACAGAGUCGAAAGAUAACUCAUUUUGACCGUAUUAAUCCAGCUGGCUGUGGUAUUAAAUGUGAACUUUGUACGACGUAUGAAUUUUAUCUCAGAUUAAAAAAUAUAUAAUCCAGUGCGUGACACAGGUAGGGUGUUUGAUGGCAAUCUGAAACACCCACCAUAAUCAUCCAUGGGGGUCUUUGGAAUUGCACAUUGCCUAUGUUAUGACUCUUGACCGAGAUAAAAAAAACAAGUCACGUGCUGCAGUGCAAUGACUACUCAGCGACAAUUCGUAAAUAACAAACUGUGGGCUUAAAAGUCUUUAUUUUUUAAUAUGCGACAUUUGGUCAAUUGCUCUUCUUCAUAGCACGUGAAGCCAACACGUGCGUCAACAACAUUGCCGCAGCACCCCCUGCUGGACUAAACACGCUACUGUGCCGCGGAGACUACGCAUCAGACGGCCACAAGCGAGUGGUGUCAAGUGUGAUCAUGAUGAUUAUUAUGAGGCUUGUUUACCCAGGAAAGCCUCACUGCAGGCGCGACACGUCCAUGUAGGCUAUCUAGGCGGUCGUCUAGGGCGUAAAGUUAAGUGGGGUGCCAAAUUCGAGGAAAAAAUAAUUUCUCAACAUUUCUGACGAUUGAUUGGACAGACGGACGGACAACCCGAAUAAUUAUGCCUCUUUAAAAAAAACAUUAAACGUAAAAUAGGGAAACAUGUUUCCCAGUUUACCAAAAAACUCAGCCUCGAUCUGCCCCUGGGGUUUGGGGGCGCCGAUUGCUGGCAGCAGCGGGUCCAGGGCCGCCGCUGCCUCACUGAGUGAGCCUCGUGGCUCUUUUUCAGGAGGGUCCUGCCAGUUUUCACAGUAGGGGGUGGCUAUGUAUAAUCUCAAUUGAGUAAUGUGUACUUUAUAUCAGAAUCUAUUACAGUACACUAUACCAUUUUGCGUGAAAACUCGGGCCCAUUAUCUUGAAGUUAUCGGGGGUGGGGCGUCUUUGCUUAUUAGCAUCUUUAGUAUCUUGCGAUUCACCAACGUUGGUUGGGGCAAGCCUGACUGCUGAUGAAACACUGAAUGUCGAAGCGAGCUCAUAGCUUGCUUUGUCUUGAACUAAUGCUGCUGACAUUAUGCACUCCAAGAAGACCGUGGGGCUGAUGGGAUGAAAAAAAAACAUUGAUUUUGUUGUUUUAUGCGAUGAGACAGAUACAGGAUUGUGAAUGAGAUGUGUUUUUUGUCAAUGUUAUGGACGAAUUGGUGAGAAUGGUGUGAGUUUGUGUGCGAGUGAAUGGCAAAUGCCUGGAGUGUGUGGUUCGGAUCAGGUGAGUGGUGCGUGGUGGUUGAUGAGUAUAUCAUGUGUGUGCCAGGUGAAUGAUAUCUGGUGAGUGGUGAGUGCCCGCAUGGUGAGCGGUGUCUGGCGAUGGGUCAGUUGUCAUGCAUGUGAGGUCACGCCACCUUAUCCGUCCUCUAGUGUGUGUGUCAAUAA
Petromyzon marinus (sea lamprey) is the source of this 2335-nucleotide non-coding RNA. The record is from RefSeq and is a predicted model, not a curated record. NCBI's taxonomy places the organism in Eukaryota, Metazoa, Chordata, Hyperoartia, Petromyzontiformes, Petromyzontidae.